UAUUAAAUUAUGUACAUUUAUGGAGAUUAAAUAUAGGGCUAUAUAGUAAUUUGAAAUUGUAAAAUGUCAAAAAAAAAAUGUUUUUGUGUUUUUAUGCAAGAUGGUAAUGUGCGGUUGGGCAUUAUCAUUCGUCAGUGUUACGACAAACGCACAGAUGGAAACGAAAAUGACGAACAUGAAAUAGACAAACCACAAACAGAAAUAAAAGAGAAUACAUAGAUUUACGUGAAAAUUUUUUUGCAGGAAAAAAAACCACGGGCGAGGGAUGAGAGAAUUUCACUAUCGAAAAAAGGGAAUGCAAUGUUCAAGGUACAACCAGCAUCAAUCUGUCACCUCUAGGACAAAAACAAAAAAAAAACUCUUAACGGGCUUAUCGGCCCGAGUCCUCCGCUACCCACCACAGGCAUUUAUUUUUCGUUCACAAUUUUAUUUCAAAAGCCGUACCGCGAAACUGCCGGCGAGUCAAAGUUUAGAACUGGAAUCGAUUAUCAAUUUCGAGUCAUAUCUAACGGUCAGAAAGAAUAUUUAUUGCAAAUAAGUCAUCAAGUAAGAGAGAGAGAGAGAGAGAGAGAGUUAAUAUAUAUUUUUCGGCCUGUUUCUUAUUAGAUUUAUCUUUUAGUUUAUAUGAUAUCAGAAUCAAUUUCAAGCUUCUUCAUUUUGUGAGGUCGUGGAUUCAUUCUUCACUUUUUAUACUUAACGUGUAAAAUUUUCACGCACCGAUGCAUAUUAGUGAAAGUGUUAAUAUAUAUUUGUUGAUCGUGACU
Molecule: long non-coding RNA, 764 nt
Filed under: Ananas comosus (pineapple)
Lineage: Eukaryota; Viridiplantae; Streptophyta; Magnoliopsida; Poales; Bromeliaceae
Description: long non-coding RNA (ACOM_LNC044897)
Source: RNAcentral